This 259-nucleotide ribosomal RNA is filed under the name uncultured bacterium. Its description in RNAcentral is "partial 16S ribosomal RNA". It matches the Rfam family "Bacterial small subunit ribosomal RNA", at positions 1243 to 1500 of the family's 1533-position model. The record is from RNAcentral.
CGAGUCGCAAGCUCGCGAGAGUAAGCUAAUCUCUUAAAGCCGUUCUCAGUUCGGACUGUAGGCUGCAACUCGCCUACACGAAGUCGGAAUCGCUAGUAAUCGCGGAUCAGCAUGCCGCGGUGAAUACGUUCCUGGGCCUUGUACACACCGCCCGUCACACCAUGGGAGUUUGUAACGCCCAAAGUCGGUGGCCUAACCUUUAUGGAGGGAGCCGCCUAAGGCGGGACAGAUGACUGGGGUGAAGUCGUAACAAGGUACC